This 253-nucleotide ribosomal RNA is filed under the name uncultured bacterium. Its description in RNAcentral is "partial 16S ribosomal RNA". It matches the Rfam family "Bacterial small subunit ribosomal RNA", at positions 524 to 776 of the family's 1533-position model. The record is from RNAcentral.
UACGUAGGGUGCGAGCGUUACUCGGAAUUACUGGGCGUAAAGUGUGCGCAGGCGGUUUCUCAAGUCAAGUGUGAAAGCCCCGGGCUUAACCUGGGAACUGCGCUUGAAACUACGGAACUCGAGUGUGGCAGAGGAAGGUGGAAUUCCACGUGUAGCGGUGAAAUGCGUAGAGAUGUGGAGGAACACCGAUGGCGAAGGCAGCCUUCUGGGCCAACACUGACGCUCAUGCACGAAAGCGUGGGGAGCAAACAGG